Molecule: small nuclear RNA, 107 nt
Filed under: Mus spretus (western wild mouse)
Lineage: Eukaryota; Metazoa; Chordata; Mammalia; Rodentia; Muridae
Source: RNAcentral
GUGCUCAUUUUUGCAGCACAUAUGCUAAAAUUGGAAUGAUACAGAGAAGAUUAGCAUGGUUCCUGUGCGAGGAUGACACACAAAUUUGUGAAGUGUUCCAUAUUUUU